CCUACGGGGGGCUAAUGACGGUACCGUAAGAAUAAGCACCGGCUAACUACGUGCCAGCAGCCGCGGUAAUACGUAGGGUGCGAGCGUUAAUCGGAAUUACUGGGCGUAAAGCGUGCGCAGGCGGUGAUGUAAGACAGAUGUGAAAUCCCCGGGCUCAACCUGGGACCUGCAUUUGUGACUGCAUCGCUAGAGUACGGUAGAGGGGGAUGGAAUUCCGCGUGUAGCAGUGAAAUGCGUAGAUAUGCGGAGGAACACCGAUGGCGAAGGCAAUCCCCUGGACCUGUACUGACGCUCAUGCACGAAAGCGUGGGGAGCAAACAGGAUUAGAUACCCCAGUAGUC
RNAcentral lists this ribosomal RNA (341 nucleotides) under uncultured bacterium. RNAcentral's name for it is "bacterial SSU rRNA". It matches the Rfam family "Bacterial small subunit ribosomal RNA", at positions 455 to 795 of the family's 1533-position model. The record is from RNAcentral.